GGCAUGGGAGCGGAGCAAAACCUUCAAAAAGGCAAAGAUGUUGAUUGGGGAACAGAGAGGAGACCUGGGUCACAGAGCAGGGAUGACAAUACAAAGACAGGAGGGUGUAAGGCUAGGGGUAGGUAGAGGUGGAGUCGUGGCAGCUUCAUGAUAGCUAAGGUUGAGUUGGAGGAGAGGAAGUUGGGGGACUGGGCAGGUUCCAGGAAAGGCAUGAGCCAUGAGAUGGAACGAAGCAAGACUUCUGAGACAGGGCAGACUUGAUGGCCAACCUGCACCUGUUCAGGAUGGCUGCAAAGAAGACUUCGGGGAACAAGGAGUCCUCUGGGAAGGGAGAAGGGAGUUUGAGCAUCAGAGACCAGGGCGCUGUGAAGGGAACGGAUGGGCUGGUUUGGAGAUGUGCAGAAUGGUGGGAGGGAACAGGGUCAGAGUGGGACUUGGGGACCCUGAAGCCAGGGCUCUCUCAUGGUGAUGGGGAGGGCGUGUUAGAGAGAGAGAGAGAGAGAGAGAGAGAGAGAGAGAGAGAGAGAGAGAGAGAAGCUACCAGCUCCUGUCAGGAAGGUUGGGUCAGUGGUUAGCUCAGGUGAUGGUAGAGGGAGCUGGAGGACCCCUCACCCCCAUUGUCCUUGCUCUGGGCUGGGUUCUGAGUUCCUUGCUGUGACACACUUGCCCUUCUAUAGGGUCACCACCUGCACAUUGCUAGCUCUCACGGGACACUGUAACACUCAUUACUCCUCCCUGGCCACCACUACUCAGCGCUCACAGAGAGCAAAACACCAUGAAGAUUGUUCCAGGGCACGGAGCUUGGCCCAACUCCACAGAGGACUCCUCAAGAGUGAGUCAGAGUUCAGCAGGCCCCGAACGUUGGCUCCACCCUUCUUCCAACACAGCUACUGUUCGGUUGUGCUCUGUCAGGUCCUGUGCUGCGGCCAAUUCAGAAGUGACAGAAGCUGAGCUCUUACCUUCUAGGGUCUCCUGAUCUUUAGACUGAAAAAAGAAGGAAGGGAAGGAGGGAGAAGGAGGCGGACCUGUGUCGGAGUCAAUCCCGGGAAUCCAUCUCUCCAGGUCGCCGAGCCUGAAGCCAUCUCCAAACAGGUCUCUCGGACGUCUCAGGCUGUGCAGGGUGAGAUGUUGUGGGAAAGGACACUGAACUCCAGUCAGGAGGCCCAGUCAGGACACUUGGCCAUUCUGUGACUACAGUUGUGUCUUUGAUUUGUUUCCUCUUUUGCAAAAUGGGGGUGAUGGAGCUCCCCCCCCAAGUGGUGCACAGAAGCACCUCAGGGCUCAAGUGAAUGCCAGCUAGGACUGGGAUCAUCUCCAAGGGCUAUUCCAGCAGAGGCUGCCCUCCCUCCUCAGGACCACUCUCUUUUUGUUAUCCCAGAAGUGCAGCCCCAGCUGGAAGGAGGAGACACGGUGCCUCAGGUGGACACCCAUGCAACCAAUUCGUCUUGGGAAAAAGACAUAAAAUCUCAGAAAUGGCAUAGCCCACCUCUUCCCCAGGGCUGCCAGGCAUGAAAAAUCUUAAGCUCUUGGACACGGGGGUAGGAGGAGCAAAAGCGGGGUUCUUGACACUGCUGAGGAAGCCUCCAGGUGUGGCUGCUACUUACUGCCCUCCAAAGGAAAGAGCAGCGAAGAAGCUGGGGGCUGCAGGCAGAUCCCAGUAGAGAACUGAGGACUGGUUGUAUCCCAGAGAGGGGCUGCAUAACCGCUGAUGUCACCAGAGGAACCUGGAGUCAGCUUCUCUCUCUCCUCUCCCCCUCCCUCCUCCCCUCCCUUCCAUUCCCUCCCUGCUCUGUGUGUACUGGCAAGCACAGGCGUGCUUACACAUGCUCCUGGCAUCUGGAAGCCAGAGGUUGACCUUGGGUGUCUUCUUCAAUCACACUUCUACCUUAUUUUUGUCUUUGUUCUUGUUUCUUGAGACAGGGUCUUACUAUGUAGACCAGACUGGCCUUGAACUCAUAGAGGCAGGCCUGCAUCUGCCUUUUAAGUGCUGGGAUGAAGGUGCUGAAAGUGGGGCUGGAGAGAUGGCUCAGCUGUUAAGAGCACUGACUGCUCUCCCAGAGGUCCUGAGUUCAAUUCCCAGCAACCACAUGGUGGCUCACAACCAUCUGUAAUGGGAUCUGAUGCUCUCUUCUGGUGUGUGUCUGAAGACAGCUGCAGUGUACUCAUAUACAUAAAAUAAAUAAAAAAAUAAAUCUUAAAAAAAAAAAAAA
Molecule: long non-coding RNA, 2210 nt
Organism: Mus spicilegus (steppe mouse)
Lineage: Eukaryota; Metazoa; Chordata; Mammalia; Rodentia; Muridae
Source: Ensembl